CGUGUAGGCGGUUGGGUAAGUCAGAUGUGAAAGCCUUCUGCUUAACAGAAGAAGUGCAUUUGAAACUGCUCGGCUAGAGUACGGGAGAGGAGAGUGGAAUUCCCGGUGUAGAGGUGAAAUUCGUAGAUAUCAGGAGGAACACCAGUGGCGAAGGCGGCUCUCUGGUCCGAUACUGACGCUGAGACGCGAAAGCGUGGGAGCAAACAGGAUUAGAUACCCUGGUAGUCCACGCCGUAAACGAUGGGCACUAGGUGUAGGAGGUAUUGACCCCUUCUGUGCCGAAGCUAACGCAUUAAGUGCCCCGCCUGGGGAGUACGGCCGCAAGGCUAAA
This 331-nucleotide ribosomal RNA is filed under the name uncultured bacterium. RNAcentral describes it as "bacterial SSU rRNA". It matches the Rfam family "Bacterial small subunit ribosomal RNA", at positions 568 to 898 of the family's 1533-position model. The record is from RNAcentral.